RNAcentral lists this long non-coding RNA (594 nucleotides) under Homo sapiens (human). RNAcentral describes it as "non-protein coding lnc-SSR3-10:1". The record is from RNAcentral. Lineage: Eukaryota; Metazoa; Chordata; Mammalia; Primates; Hominidae.
CCAGGUGGUCGCCGGUGGGGGCGUCAGAACUAUUCUAAGAGGGUGGGGAGCCAGAGAAGAAAACCAUACAAAAUGCAACUUGCAUGAUUAGGAGGCUGAAUUCUAUGAGCAAAUGGGUUUUCAAGAAGCACACUGAAAAUAACCUCUGUAAAUGGUUGUCUCUUACACUUUGCCCAGUAGAUAACUGUUUAAAAACUACUCUAACACGGAAUUCAAAGGUCAUUCAAAUGUGCCUUCAAUUUGUUUAUAUUACUUAGUUUAACAGGCAGUACACACGGCUCACAUAUGCGUGCAUGAAAUUUAAUUUAUACAGUCAAGUCUGGAAGCAUGGUUUGGCAAGAGGAAUAAUUGUGAAUUCAGUUAAAGUCAGGGUACAAACAGCCAGAUUACUUAAAAGGACAGAUGAACUGAAAAAAAAAUCAGUCCAUGAGGAAGCUGUUACAUUCAUCUUUUCAUGGUCUUGAACAUCUUAUACCAACUCAACAAUAAUACCCAGCGGAAACUUCUAAUUAGACACAGAAAACGCAAGUAUUAGCUGUGUGGGCAAGCAUCAAAAAGCCUCAUGUUAGAGACAGACACAUGAAUAACAUCUAU